This 77-nucleotide transfer RNA is filed under the name Patescibacteria group bacterium. RNAcentral describes it as "tRNA-Asp". It matches the Rfam family "tRNA". From Rfam's summary of the family: Transfer RNA (tRNA) molecules are approximately 80 nucleotides in length. Their secondary structure includes four short double-helical elements and three loops (D, anti-codon, and T loops). Further hydrogen bonds mediate the characteristic L-shaped molecular structure. tRNAs have two regions of fundamental functional importance: the anti-codon, which is responsible for specific mRNA codon recognition, and the 3' end, to which the tRNAs corresponding amino acid is attached (by aminoacyl-tRNA synthetases). tRNAs cope with the degeneracy of the genetic code in two manners: having more than one tRNA (with a specific anti-codon) for a particular amino acid; and 'wobble' base-pairing, i.e. permitting non-standard base-pairing at the 3rd anti-codon position. The record is from RNAcentral. RNAcentral also lists the same sequence under 1 other name.
GGACCCGUAGUGUAGCGGUUUAACACGCCUCCCUGUCACGGAGGAGAUCGCCGGUUCGAAUCCGGUCGGGUCCGCCA